RNAcentral lists this ribosomal RNA (600 nucleotides) under Trichoderma sp. NK351. RNAcentral describes it as "eukaryotic LSU rRNA". It matches the Rfam family "Eukaryotic large subunit ribosomal RNA", at positions 1 to 623 of the family's 3401-position model. Lineage: Eukaryota; Fungi; Ascomycota; Sordariomycetes; Hypocreales; Hypocreaceae. The record is from RNAcentral.
UUGACCUCGGAUCAGGUAGGAAUACCCGCUGAACUUAAGCAUAUCAAUAAGCGGAGGAAAAGAAACCAACAGGGAUUGCCCCAGUAACGGCGAGUGAAGCGGCAACAGCUCAAAUUUGAAAUCUGGCCCCUAGGGUCCGAGUUGUAAUUUGUAGAGGAUGCUUUUGGUGAGGUGCCGCCCGAGUUCCCUGGAACGGGACGCCGCAGAGGGUGAGAGCCCCGUCUGGCUGGCCACCGAGCCUCUGUAAAGCUCCUUCGACGAGUCGAGUAGUUUGGGAAUGCUGCUCAAAAUGGGAGGUAUAUGUCUUCUAAAGCUAAAUAUUGGCCAGAGACCGAUAGCGCACAAGUAGAGUGAUCGAAAGAUGAAAAGCACCUUGAAAAGAGGGUUAAACAGUACGUGAAAUUGUUGAAAGGGAAGCGCUUGUGACCAGACUUGGGCGCGGCGAAUCAUCCGGGGUUCUCUCCGGUGCACUUCGCCGUGUUCAGGCCAGCAUCAGUUCGGCGCGGGGGAAAAAGGCUUCGGGAACGUGGCUGCUCCGGCAGUGUUAUAGCCCGUUGCAUAAUACCCUGCGCUGGACUGAGGACCGCGCAUCUGCAAGGA